Molecule: long non-coding RNA, 289 nt
Organism: Haliotis rubra (blacklip abalone)
Lineage: Eukaryota; Metazoa; Mollusca; Gastropoda; Lepetellida; Haliotidae
Exons: 2
Source: RefSeq, a predicted model, not a curated record
GUGCCACCCAUGCAACCAUACCAUAUAGACUUUUAGUUCUGCGAGACGCUGAUAGUGAGUGUUGAUGAUUCUAUCAGCCGUACUUCAGAUUAUCAAAGAUGACUGAUCUACUACCAGCUCCCAUAACAGACCUCCUUUCAUGGCGUCUGACUGCUAUUGUUAUGGCUGUUACCAUUAUCGUCACCUCCAUUUUCGGGGCAGUUGCUCUCUUCAAGGAGGAGAUGAUUGACGCCUUUGGUGUGGUUACAGAUAUAACCACCAACAUUAUGGGCAAUGUGAUACAAAAACU